ACGCGCAUGCUUUUCUGUAAGAUUAAGCCAUGCAUGUGUUUGUUCACACCAAUUAAUAGUGAGACUGCGGACGGCUCAAUAAAUCGGUUAUAAUCUGUUCGAAAGUACUCCCAUUGGAUAACCGUGGGAAAUCUAGAGCUAAUACAUGUAUAAUUGUAAUGGAUCUUGAUCUAUUACUUGCAUUUAUUAGAUAAAACCAAAUGCUAAUAGUUGGCGAAAGCUGACUGUUAGUAAGGUGAUUCUGGAUAACUGAGCAGAUUGCAUGGCCUUGAGCUGGCAAUAUUUCGAUUGAAUUUCUGCCCUAUCAACUGUUGAUGGUAAGGUAGAGGCUUACCAUGGUUGCAACGGGUAACGGGGGAUCAGGGUUCGAUUCCGGAGAGGGAGCCUGAGAAACGGCUACCACAUCCAAGGGAGGCAGCAGGCGCGCAAAUUACCCAAUCCAGACAAUGGGAGGUGGUAACCAGAAGUACCGUGUGGUGGACAAUGUCUACUUAUCAUGGAAUGAGCAUAAAUUAAACAUUUUGUCGAGUAACGACUGGAGGGCAAGUCUGGUGCCAGCAGCCGCGGUAAUUCCAGCUCCAGUAGCAUGCCGUAAAGUUGUUGCGUUUAAAACGCUCGUAGUCGGAUCAUACAGUAUUCAUUAGUUGACUAGUAUCAGUCGGCAAUCAAACCCUAAUCUGUGUAUUGUUUUCAUUAAUUUGAUACAAUAUACGGAGGUGGGUGUCUACUGUGCUAGUUGUUCGCUAAUAGAUACUAUUUGCAUGUAAGAAUGAUGAUUGGCCUUUAGUGCGUUGAUCAUCGUGUCUUACAGAGUGUGCCUUGAAUAAAUCAUAGUGCUCAAAGCAGGCUAGUGCCUGAAUGAUACAGCAUGGAACGAACAACCGUGUUACGUGUUAUAUAGUACAAGGUUAUACUUGUACUGUAUAACAUAUCACCAACCGCCAUGUACGGAUGUUGGUUUCCGUAUUGGGGUGAUGAUUAAAACGAGCGGUUGGGGGCAUUGGUAUUUGGCCGCGAGAGGUGAAAUUCUUAGACCGGCCAAGGACUAACAAAAGCGAAGGCAUUUGCCAAGACCGUCUCGAUUGAUCAAGAACGAUAGUGAGAGUUUCGAAGAUGAUCAGAUACCGUCCUAGUUCUCACUGUAAACUAUGCCAACCCGAGAUCAGUUUAAAGCAAUAUUAACGCUCUAGGUUGGUCCCCCUGGGAAACCUCAAGUUUUUGGGUUACGGGGGGAGUAUGGUCGCAAGGCUGAAACUUAAAGGAAUUGACGGAAGGGCACCACCAGGGGUGGAGCCUGCGGCUUAAUUUGACUCAACACGGGACAACUCACUCGGCCAGAACGUCGAAAGGAUUGACAGACUAAUAGAUCUUACAUGAUACGAUGCGUGGUGGUGCAUGGCCGUUCUUAGUUCGUGAUGUGAAUUGUCAGAUUUAUUUCGGUAACGAACGAGACCCAAGUCUUUACUUACGACGUGGAAUAGUAAUCCUACGGAUUGCUCUAGUUGUCGUUGGCGAUUGAUUAACUUGUUAUGAGAUUGCCAAUGAUAACUAUCCUUCCACGAUGCUGUUUAUGGCAACAUAGAUAGCUGCAUAAAGAGACUACUGACUAUACAUAUAAAAUCAGAGGAAGUUGGGCGAUAACAGGUCUGUGAUGCCCUUAGAUGUUCGAGGCUGCACGCGCGCUACAAUGAUAGCAGCAAUGAGAUAUCUGAUUCGAGAGAAUUGGGAAAUCUGUUAAUUGCUAUCGUGAUGGGGAUUGCUCAUUGUAAUUUGGGCAUGAAAUAGGAAUCCCUUGUACGUGCACUUCAUUUAAAGUGCGUGGAAUGAGUCCCUGCCCUUUGUACACACCGCCCGUCGCUACUACCGAGUGAAUCGUUUCAUGAUGCGUUGGGACUGGACGUCGUUCGGAUAACAUCUGAAUGAUGCUAGGAUCAAUGUAAAAUGACUCAAUUUCGAGGAAGUAAAAGU
This 1968-nucleotide ribosomal RNA is filed under the name Henneguya sp. MRB001. Its description in RNAcentral is "SSU rRNA". It matches the Rfam family "Eukaryotic small subunit ribosomal RNA". Lineage: Eukaryota; Metazoa; Cnidaria; Myxozoa; Bivalvulida; Myxobolidae. The record is from RNAcentral.